Molecule: ribosomal RNA, 194 nt
Filed under: Paenibacillus jilunlii
Lineage: Bacteria; Bacillati; Bacillota; Bacilli; Caryophanales; Paenibacillaceae
Description: 16S rRNA. Bacterial SSU
Rfam family: Bacterial small subunit ribosomal RNA
Source: RNAcentral
CCAAUUUGGAGAGUUUGAUCCUGGCUCAGGACGAACGCUGGCGGCGUGCCUAAUACAUGCAAGUCGAGCGGAGUCUUGUUGGAAGCUUGCUUCCAACCUGGCUUAGCGGCGGACGGGUGAGUAACACGUAGGCAACCUACCCUCUAGACUGGGAUAACUACCGGAAACGGUAGCUAAUACCGGAUAAUUCCUUG